CCAAAGCUAAUUUCCUGAAUUUCUACGCAGUUUUAACAUGACACAGGCCCUUCUAACUAGUUCUUUUUAGAACAGCAAAAAAUGUCACCAGACACUCAUCAAGCUAGGAAUUUAUCAGAGGGUUAUUCAACAUGCCCACUGUGUCAAGCAUUGAGGCUAUCAUAUUGAACAGCCAAAGGUGAGAGAUUGACCAUGGUCCUGCCUGAAGUCACCAAACAGUCACAGGCAUGCAGUUUUGUUUCUGGAACAUUUCCGCAAGUCACUCUCUGCAGAAAGAAGAGCAACCCACGCGAGACCUGCCGUCCAGCAUCCAUGUGAUCUAGCUAGCAGGCACGAGAGGCCACCUAAUCUGCCCUUCACACAUGUUGCUCUACUCACCCAACCAUGGUACUACACAAUCAGCAACUAAAGGGUCCCCAUGCAUGAGGCGGCUCAGCCGGAUGCUGGAUUCUCUUUGUGGUAUUAGUCUAUUUAAAGAAUAACAGCCGGUGACCAAAGAAUAUCCUUUCGUCUCACAGUUCUGACAUAACUUAGUGACAAUUUUGGUUUUCAGGUGUUGUGAUUGUGCCAGUGUACGUGAUGGGAGAAGAGAAUGCCACCCUCCCACCUAAUGUCACAAUUGUGCAGGUGGCAAGCAACAGGUCAUCUCUAAUUGACAACUCUUUGUGUGUCUAUGAGUGUUCAGGUGUCAUAAAUUAGACUCAAACAAUGUCUCCACGGUGUGAAUCACAUUUGUGUGUUUGUGUGUUGUAAAUUAUGCUACACUAAUAUCUUGUGUGUGGUGUGAUAGCUGUUCUCGCCAGCGAUGAGGUGCUGUAUUAUGGCAGGGCUGGCCUGGAGGCAAAUACAGUAAGGGGAAGCAUUCAGGAUGUAUAUGCAUAUAUAAACUCAGCAAAAAAAGAAACGUCCCUUUUUCAGGACCCUGUCUUUCAAAGAUCAUUCGUAAAAAUCCAAAUAACUUCACAGAUCUUCAUUGUAAAGGGUUUAAACACUGUUUCCCAUGCUUGUUCAAUGAUCCAUAAACAAUUAAUGAACAUGCACCUGUGGAAUGGUAUUUAAGACCCUAACAGCUUACAGACGGUAGGUAAUUAAGGUCACAGUUAUGAAAACUUAGGACACUAAAGAGGCCUUUUUACUGACUCGCAAAAACACAAAAAGAAAUAUGCCCAUGGUCCCUGCUCAUCUGCGUGAAUGUGCCUUAGACAUGCUGCAAGGAGGCGUGAGGACUGCAGGUGUGUCCAGGGCAAUAAAUUGCAAUGUCCGAACUGUGAGACGCCUAAGACAGUGCUACAGGGAGGCAGGACAGACAGCUGAUCGUCCUUGCAGUGGCAGACCACGUGUAACAACACCUGCACAUGAUCGGUACAUCCGAACAUCACACCUGCGGGACAGGUACAGGAUGGAAACAACAACUGCCCGAGUUACACCAGGAAUGCACAAUCCCUCCAUCAGUGCUCAGACUGUCCGCAAUAGGCUGAGAGAGGCUGAACUGAGGGCUUGUAUAGGCCUGUAGUAAGGCAGGUCCUCACCAGACAUCACCAGCAACAACAUUUCCUAUGGGCACAAACCCAUCGCCGCUGGACCAGACAGGACUGGCAAAAAGUGCUCUUCAUUGAUGAGUCGUGGUUUUGUCUCACCAGGGGUGAUGGUCGGAUUCACAUUUAUCGUCGAAGGAAUGAGCGUUACACCGAGGCCUGUACUCUGGAGCGGGAUCGAUUUGGAGGUGAAGGGUCCGUCAUGGUCUGGGGCAGUGUGUCACAGCAUCAUCGGACUGAGCUUGUCGUCAUUGCAGGCAAUCUCAACGCUGUGCGUUACAGGGAAGACAUCCUCCUCCUUCAUGUGGUACCUUUCCUGCAGGCUCAUCCUGACAUGACCCUCCAGCAUGACAAUGCCACCAGCCAUACUGCUUGUUCUGUGCGUGACUUCCUGCAAGACAGGAAUGCCAGUGUUCUGCUAUGGCCAGCGAAGAGCCCGGAUCUCAAUCCCAUUGAGCACGUCUGGGACUUGUUGGAUCGGAGGGUGAGGGCUAGGGCCAUUCCCCCCAGAAAUAUACUGGAACUUGCAGGUGCCUUGGUGGAAGAGUGGGGUGACAUCUCACAGCAACAACUGGCAAAUCUGGUGCAGUCCAUAAGGAGGAGAUCCACUGCAGUACUUAAUGCAGCUGGUGGCCACACUAGAUACUGACGGUUACUUUUGAUUUUCACCCCCCUUUGUUCAGGGACACAUUAUUCCAUUUCUGUUGGUCACAUGUCUGUGGAACUUGUUCAGUUUAUGUCUCAGUUGUUGAAUCUUGUUAUGUUCAUACAGAUAUUUACACAUGUUAAGUUUGCUGAAAAUAAACACAGUUGACAGUGA
Long non-coding RNA from Oncorhynchus nerka (sockeye salmon), 2355 nucleotides. RefSeq lists it as uncharacterized. The record is from RefSeq and is a predicted model, not a curated record. Lineage: Eukaryota; Metazoa; Chordata; Actinopteri; Salmoniformes; Salmonidae. The transcript is spliced from 2 exons.